UACGGAGGGUGCAAGCGUUGCUCGGAAUUAUUGGGCGUAAAGGGUAGGUAGGUGGUCUUAUUUGUCUGGGGUGAAAGCCUUGAGCUUAACUCAAGAAGUGCCCCAGAAACGGUAAGACUCGAGUCCUGGAGAGGGUUGUGGAAUUCCCGGUGUAGCGGUGAAAUGCGCAGAUAUCAGGAAGAACACCUAUGGCGAAGGCAGCUCUCUGGGACGGUACUGACGCUGAGACGCGAAAGCGUGGGGAGCGAACAGG
RNAcentral lists this ribosomal RNA (253 nucleotides) under uncultured bacterium. RNAcentral describes it as "partial 16S ribosomal RNA". It matches the Rfam family "Bacterial small subunit ribosomal RNA", at positions 524 to 776 of the family's 1533-position model. The record is from RNAcentral.